AUCUAUUUGCCUGGUGGAAAACAGAAGCCCUCACGAAGGGAGAUCAGUGCAAGACAGCUGCAUCACUGAAAUUACUCAGUAUAAGUGGAGAACCAACCGGAAAGAAUGGAAAACAGAAAUUAAUCAGAGAAUGUAACAAGGUCCUAAUGGGAUAAUCUCCUUCGCAACUAGAUAGAUCAUCUAAAUGAUCACCUUUUGAAACAAGAGUUCUCCGGUAUCAAUCACUACACUGUUCUAAGUUGGAAAUGGGAGCAAACUGCCUCUCUUACUCUCAGAUCCAUUUGGAUCUAACAGGAGGUCCCAGCCAAACAAACAGAUAGCCAAAGAAACAGCAGAACUUACCAAAUGGAUCAUGCGUGCAUGUGGUGCGUCAAGCGCCCAAUCCUCUUACAGCUUUAUCCUUCCAGGCUUCAAUUUCAUCUCAGAAUGAUUGAACCCCUGAGCUUGGAAGCUGGAAGUCUUGAGCUGCUGGAGACUUUCACUUGGAUGGCUCAAGCUUUUGAGAGCACUCCUCGGUUUUAGGUUGAAGCAAUGGAGCACAUACUUCAGGCUAUUUUAUUCGAUAACAGCUCAGCUCGAUUGUGGUGUAUGCUGUAUAAUAUAGACAGGCAGUAACUCCUAUCACUUUCUACAGUCUUGUGCCCAAUCAUGUCGGCCGGUGGUACCAGCUCUCCUUUGACUCGAUCUGUCCACUAGGCGUCAUAUCUUAUAAUAAAGGGCAUUGCUCGAAAAAAAAAUCAUAUGAAGGGCAAAAAUUCAAAAGAGAAUAGGAUAAAACAUGGAUGCCAUGUCGAUAUAGUAAAGGGCUCAUUCAGAAUUUUCAGUUCCGACAGCCAUGUGAAUUGAAUCUUUAGACAUGGGUCAUAAUCUGAUGAUGGCAUGCUGUUCCUCUGA
Molecule: long non-coding RNA, 894 nt
Organism: Panicum virgatum (switchgrass)
Lineage: Eukaryota; Viridiplantae; Streptophyta; Magnoliopsida; Poales; Poaceae
Exons: 2
Source: RefSeq, a predicted model, not a curated record